GUGGGGAAUUUUGGACAAUGGGCGCAAGCCUGAUCCAGCAAUGCCGCGUGCAGGAAGAAGGCCUUCGGGUUGUAAACUGCUUUUGUACGGAACGAAACGGUCCGGGUUAAUACCCUGGGCUAAUGACGGUACCGUAAGAAUAAGCACCGGCUAACUACGUGCCAGCAGCCGCGGUAAUACGUAGGGUGCAAGCGUUAAUCGGAAUUACUGGGCGUAAAGCGUGCGCAGGCGGUUUUGUAAGACAGGCGUGAAAUCCCCGGGCUCAACCUGGGAAUUGCGCUUGUGACUGCAAGGCUGGAGUGCGGCAGAGGGGGAUGGAAUUCCGCGUGUAGCAGUGAAAUGCGUAGAUAUGCGGAGGAACACCGAUGGCGAAGGCAGCCUUCUGGCCAAAUACUGACGCUGAGGUGCGAAAGCAUGGGGAGCAAACAGGAUUAGAAACCCCUGUAGUCC
This 450-nucleotide ribosomal RNA is filed under the name uncultured bacterium. RNAcentral describes it as "bacterial SSU rRNA". It matches the Rfam family "Bacterial small subunit ribosomal RNA", at positions 354 to 796 of the family's 1533-position model. The record is from RNAcentral.